UCAACACAGUCCAAUUUUCCCCUCGCAGGAAAACAACCCAUCACCUCUCACCGCCUGGCCACCCUCGCUCUGCUGCACAAUUGGACCGGAGCCUCUGUAUGUUACAGCAUAACAGAAGGAACUGAGGUUGAGGUUUAAAAUCUAACACUGGACAAGAAAUGAGGUAAUAAUCGCCUGAUGCCCCAACACAGGAACUGGAGGGCCUCAAGAAUCAAGGAAAAGGUAGAAACUGAAGCGAUGAGGGGAUAAGCAACAGGAUGUGAACACGCCCUGACUGUUUCCGUUCCAGAGAACAGACUGCAGGGUACAGGGGUGAAGAACAGCACAGCCCUCGAGCCCGGAGCCCGGAGCCCGGA
Molecule: long non-coding RNA, 356 nt
Organism: Eptesicus fuscus (big brown bat)
Lineage: Eukaryota; Metazoa; Chordata; Mammalia; Chiroptera; Vespertilionidae
Exons: 3
Source: RefSeq, a predicted model, not a curated record